This 386-nucleotide long non-coding RNA is filed under the name Homo sapiens (human). RNAcentral describes it as "HSALNT0244312". Lineage: Eukaryota; Metazoa; Chordata; Mammalia; Primates; Hominidae. The record is from RNAcentral.
GGUUGGUGGCUGCCACGACACAGCCCUGCACACAGGGGCUGCUUGACACUCACAAGGGUCUAACACCUGUUCUAGGGACCUUGUUCAGUGACCACUCUCACUGGCAGGAAGUAUUUCUUGCGUAUAAAUAAGAAUUCCUGAUGCAAUUUCAACCAACUUUCACUCAUUUGGUCCUUAGGAGGGAGAAGAAACAACUGGCUCAUGCCCAGCUUCCUGGCACUGAAUGGGCACACAGGCCUCAGGACAAACUUUCUUACUGGUUCUUCAAUUAAGCACCUCCCCUUUUCCUUUUUACCCCAAAUAAAUGAUCUGCACAAGGUACCUAUUAUUUUAUACAGGUUCUUUGGCAAGGAACUACCUCCUAGAUACUAAUAUCCACAUUACCC